Molecule: long non-coding RNA, 754 nt
Organism: Rosa chinensis
Lineage: Eukaryota; Viridiplantae; Streptophyta; Magnoliopsida; Rosales; Rosaceae
Exons: 3
Source: RefSeq, a predicted model, not a curated record
GCAGGUGAAUAUCUGAAUUGGUAAAAUCCAAAUUUGAGUUUGUGUCCAACUGGUGUAGGUGGAGCUUGUAAAGAGAAAAACACCUUCCGACUUGCUUCUGCCGGAGGACAAGAAGAUCUCCACUAGGACAAUACUCCAUUACUAAACAAGAAAGAUUAUCUGAUGCAAACUGGGAACGAGAAAAGGAUAAUCCUAACCACUAACCAUUACCCACCACUCCAGCACCGCGCAACCUCCAUUGAAAUGACGUCGUUUCUGCACUUGCCAGCAACUUCCUUUCUUCCUUCUUCUCUCCGCGGAGCUUCCCUCACAGCUCGGCCCAAUCCCAGCUCGCUCUGUCCGACCCGGUUGAGUGUUAAAUGCAGGCAUGCACAGGCUAGUGUAAAGAGCGAGGAUUUUAAUUCUGGCGCCAUAGACGUUGCGGCUGACGUUAGGCUUGAACGGGUAAGCACAAAUUCACAGACCUUAUCCCGUCUGGAAUCGAAUUACUACUCGAUCAGAGACGACCUCGGACCUACUGGACUUACUCGACGAUUCCGAUCUCAUUCCAGCGCUCGUUCAUGAAGAGCUUCGAGGAAGAGAUUUCGGGCGAUGGUGACUGAGCUAGUACUCCGCCGAUUGAAGAUGGAGGUGGACUCGGUUCAUGAUGGCAGGGGGAGAGAGAGACUCCAAGAAUUUAAAAAGAGUGGCACUGGUGUAAUUUUUUAUUUUUCAGAGCUUAAAAUGAACAUUUUGAUUUUUUGAUUUUAAAUGA